GCAAAAUGGGGCAUUCCAGCUGAAGUAUCUUGAUGAUGAACAGGAGUGGGUAAUGCUGGUGAGUGACUCUGACUUGCAGGAGUGUGUUGAGAUACUGGAUUAUGUUGGGACACGCAGCGUGAAGUUCCUUGUUCAUGAUACGGUUUCUUUUAUGGGCAGCUCUGGCAGCAGCAAUUGCUUUUUGGGAGGAAGCUCAUAGCACUUCAGAACCAAUAAAAG
RNAcentral lists this unclassified non-coding RNA (219 nucleotides) under Hevea brasiliensis (rubber tree). The record is from RNAcentral. Lineage: Eukaryota; Viridiplantae; Streptophyta; Magnoliopsida; Malpighiales; Euphorbiaceae.